GAAAGUCAAAGGAUUUUUUUUUAUUAUGAUUGUUGUUAUCAUUGAUACACAUCACGAGCUACACAAAAUGCCGACCAAAAAGCAAAUGUAGAAAAAUAGUAGAAUUAUAUUGGUUCUGAUGACUUUGUUAUUCCCAUCACCGUAAUUUUACAAUUUCCAAGGAUGUUUGGGAGAUUAUAAUUAUUGUAUACAUUGUCACCAGAAUAAAUAUGCAUUAGGAAUUCACAGUGGCAUCAAGCUUUACAUUCAGGUUCUUUUUUCAGAGAAAGGGACCGUGCUGAAGACCCUGCCUCUAUUUACCUUCUACAAGGUAGGAGGUCACAUUUGAAAACUAGAUUACAACAUAAUAAAACAAAAUGAAUUCCAGAGCCCUGCGUUGUAUGACAGAUAAACAAAAAGCCACAGGCUGGUUCUCUUGGUUAAGCUGGAGUGU
This 433-nucleotide long non-coding RNA is filed under the name Bos taurus (domestic cattle). Its description in RNAcentral is "long non-coding RNA NONBTAT005916". The record is from RNAcentral. Lineage: Eukaryota; Metazoa; Chordata; Mammalia; Artiodactyla; Bovidae.